RNAcentral lists this ribosomal RNA (472 nucleotides) under uncultured bacterium. RNAcentral's name for it is "partial 16S ribosomal RNA". It matches the Rfam family "Bacterial small subunit ribosomal RNA", at positions 28 to 507 of the family's 1533-position model. The record is from RNAcentral.
GACGAACGCUGGCGGCGUGCUUAACACAUGCAAGUCGAACGCUGAAGCUUGGUGCUUGCACCGGGUGGAUGAGUGGCGAACGGGUGAGUAAUACGUGAGUAACCUGCCUUUGACUCUGGGAUAAGCCUGGGAAACUGGGUCUAAUACUGGAUAUGAUAUGCCACCGCAUGGUGGUGUGUGGAAAGGGUUUUACUGGUUUUGGAUAGGCUCACGGCCUAUCAGCUUGUCGGUCGGGUAAUGGCAUACCAAGGCGACGACGGGUAGCCGACCUGAGAGGGUGACCGGCCACACUGGGACUGAGACACGGCCCAGACUCCUACGGGAGGCAGCAGUGGGGAGUAUUGCACAAUGAGCGGAAGCCUGAUGCAGCGACGCCGCGUGAGGGAUGACGGCCUUCGAGUUGUAAACCUCUUUCAGCGCGGAAGAAGCGAGAGUGACGGUACGUGCAGAAGAAGCGCCGGCUAACUACGUG